This 275-nucleotide ribosomal RNA is filed under the name uncultured bacterium. Its description in RNAcentral is "partial 16S ribosomal RNA". It matches the Rfam family "Bacterial small subunit ribosomal RNA", at positions 338 to 630 of the family's 1533-position model. The record is from RNAcentral.
CCUACGGGUGGCAGCAGUGGGGAAUAUUGGACAAUGGGGGAAACCCUGAUCCAGCCAUGCCGCGUGAGUGAUGAAGGCCUUAGGGUUGUAAAGCUCUUUCGCCAGGGAAGAUAAUGACGGUACCUGGAAAAGAAGCCUCGGCUAACUCCGUGCCAGCAGCCGCGGUAAGACGGAGGAGGCUAGCGUUGUUCGGAAUUACUGGGCGUAAAGCGUGCGCAGGUUGUGAGAUCAGUUGGAUGUGAAAGCCCGGGGCUUAACCUCGGAUGUGCAUCCAA